AGCGAACGCUGGCGGCAGGCUUAACACAUGCGAGUCGAGCGGGCCCUUCGGGGUCAGCGGCAGACGGGUGAGUAACACGUGGGAACGUACCCUUUGGUUCGGAAUAACGCUGGGAAACUAGCGCUAAUACCGGAUACGCCCUUUUGGGGAAAGGCUUGCUGCCGAAGGAUCGGCCCGCGUCUGAUUAGCUAGUUGGUGGGGUAAUGGCCUACCAAGGCGACGAUCAGUAGCUGGUCUGAGAGGAUGAUCAGCCACACUGGGACUGAGACACGGCCCAGACUCCUACGGGAGGCAGCAGUGGGGAAUAUUGGACAAUGGGCGCAAGCCUGAUCCAGCCAUGCCGCGUGAGUGAUGAAGGCCUUAGGGUUGUAAAGCUCUUUUGUCCGGGACGAUAAUGACGGUACCGGAAGAAUAAGCCCCGGCUAACUUCGUG
RNAcentral lists this ribosomal RNA (433 nucleotides) under uncultured bacterium. RNAcentral's name for it is "partial 16S ribosomal RNA". It matches the Rfam family "Bacterial small subunit ribosomal RNA", at positions 29 to 507 of the family's 1533-position model. The record is from RNAcentral.